Non-coding RNA from Acanthosepion pharaonis, 110 nucleotides. NCBI's taxonomy places the organism in Eukaryota, Metazoa, Mollusca, Cephalopoda, Sepiida, Sepiidae. The record is from the annotation of a GenBank genome assembly.
ACAGCUAUAUCACAUUGAAACCCCAGUUCCCAUAUGAUCACCAAAGUUAAGCCACAUUGAGCCUAGUCAGUGCCUAGAUGGGUGACCACUUGGGAAUACCAGGUGCUGUA